Lepidothrix coronata (blue-crowned manakin) is the source of this 1250-nucleotide long non-coding RNA. RefSeq lists it as uncharacterized. Lineage: Eukaryota; Metazoa; Chordata; Aves; Passeriformes; Pipridae. The transcript has 3 exons. The record is from RefSeq and is a predicted model, not a curated record.
UCUGUCUCAACAGGAAUGUAACUGGGUCAUUGCAUUGCCUUUUUUUCCCACUGCUUUUUCUGCAUCCUUUUCAUCUGCUUGAAAGCUGACAGAGCAGUGGGAACUUCAAAGGAAUUUGUAGUUUGAGGUUUUUCCUUUUCCCUCAUGGAAAACCUCCAGAAUCAAUGAAAACAUAGAGCACAUGCUACGUAUUCCCCCAACAGAAAGCAACGCUAGCAAGCUGUUGGGUACAAAAUGCUUUGAAAUUUCCUGUUUGGAAGACAACUGAUUAUCAAACAACUGUUAUACCGUGCAACAGAGAUCACAGUUCCUCUUUGGUGCUGGAAAAACUAAGGAUUAAACAGGCUUCUCCUAGGGGAGGGAUCGUUUGGGAUAGGUGUCCCCUGCAGAGCUGCAGUACAGUAAGCCCAUGAUUCUUUCACCAGCCACCAGCUCCUGUGUUCCAGCCCAGGCCAUUGGCAGCUCAGAGCUCUCCCCUUCUCCCUGCACCCCUGGAACAUGCAUGGCUCGUUAACAGCAACCUGGCAAUCAGAAGAGCCUGCUAUGGCAGCAGCAGCUUUUCCAGAGCUGUCCCACGUGCAGUGCAGGGCAGAGGCUGUUUGCCAAGGUGAGGUGCUCCCAGCAACAGGCUGAGAUGGAGCCUGUGGGAGAGAGCAUUUGUCCUCACCAAAUGCAACCAGCUGGAGCAAACUUUGCUUCCUUGCAAAGUGCUUCCACCUUGCAGUCCUGCCUGCCCAGAUACUCACCCUGCUCCCUGAUGCAUACAUAUGCAGCCAAGUGCCAGGGAGCAGACAGAGGAAGAGCCAUCUGGCUUCUACCAAGCUCAUUCCCACGUUGGAGCUGGGGGAGCUGCUGGAACAAAAGAUGGCAUCACUUGGGAGUGCCUGGACUAGAGAGUUUCAGGGGGAAGCAGUCUCUGCGUGGUCCUCUGCCGAUUGCAUCGGGGAAAGUCAUUAAAAAGAAUUAAAAAGGAAACAGAAAGAGACGGAAGACGGGGGAAAAAAACCCAACUAAACAGCCCCAAACAGUUAUAAACUCAAACAAAAGAACAACAGGAUCUUCCUGCUCAAAGGUCUGGGCCACUCUUACCUUGACGGCAAAGGACAGCAGUACUCCAGCGAUUUACUGGGAGAAUGGAGGAAAGCCUUGGCUAGAUGGUGGAAGGUGUCUCAGGGAGAGCAGUACCAAGGCUGCUUCAACAGGCUGGUAGCAUGAAGGUAACUCUAAGGACAUCUUGUUGCCUGUGGCUG